UGAGGAAUAUUGGUCAAUGGACGCAAGUCUGAACCAGCCAAGUAGCGUGCAGGAUGACGGCCCUAUGGGUUGUAAACUGCUUUUAUAUGGGGAUAAAGUGGGGAACGUGUUCCCUUUUGCAGGUACCAUAUGAAUAAGGACCGGCUAAUUCCGUGCCAGCAGCCGCGGUAAUACGUAGGUCCCGAGCGUUGUCCGGAUUUAUUGGGCGUAAAGCGAGCGCAGGCGGUUAGAAAAGUCUGAAGUGAAAGGCAGUGGCUCAACCAUUGUAGGCUUUGGAAACUGUUUAACUUGAGUGCAGAAGGGGAGAGUGGAAUUCCAUGUGUAGCGGUGAAAUGCGUAGAUAUAUGGAGGAACACCGGUGGCGAAAGCGGCUCUCUGGUCUGUAACUGACGCUGAGGCUCGAAAGCGUGGGGAGCGAACAGG
RNAcentral lists this ribosomal RNA (423 nucleotides) under Verrucomicrobiota bacterium. Its description in RNAcentral is "Verrucomicrobia bacterium partial 16S ribosomal RNA". It matches the Rfam family "Bacterial small subunit ribosomal RNA", at positions 355 to 776 of the family's 1533-position model. Lineage: Bacteria; Pseudomonadati; Verrucomicrobiota. The record is from RNAcentral.